This 120-nucleotide ribosomal RNA is filed under the name Petromyzon marinus (sea lamprey). Lineage: Eukaryota; Metazoa; Chordata; Hyperoartia; Petromyzontiformes; Petromyzontidae. The record is from RNAcentral.
AGCUAUAGCCCAUAUCAACAGGAAUGCGCUGGAUCUCGUCAGAUGUCAGGAUUUAGACAGGCUUGAGCCUGGAUAGUGCUUGGAUGGGCGAACAUCAUCCAAAACAGGUGUUGUAUGCUU